RNAcentral lists this ribosomal RNA (256 nucleotides) under uncultured soil bacterium. RNAcentral describes it as "partial 16S ribosomal RNA". It matches the Rfam family "Bacterial small subunit ribosomal RNA", at positions 26 to 286 of the family's 1533-position model. The record is from RNAcentral.
AGGACGAACGCUGGCGGCGUGCUUAACACAUGCAAGUCGAGCGGAAAGGCCCUUCGGGGUACUCGAGCGGCGAACGGGUGAGUAACACGUGGGCAACCUGCCCCUAGCUCUGGGAUAACUCCGGGAAACCGGGGCUAAUACCGGAUACGAUCUUCCAUGGCAUCUCGGAAGAUGGAAAGUUUUUCGGCUAGGGGAUGGGCCCGCGGCCUAUCAGCUUGUUGGUGAGGUAACGGCCCACCAAGGCGACGACGGGUAG